UCCCAGGUAACUCUGAUAUUAAUACUUUUG
This 30-nucleotide non-coding RNA is filed under the name Mus musculus (house mouse). The record is from RNAcentral. Lineage: Eukaryota; Metazoa; Chordata; Mammalia; Rodentia; Muridae.